AUUGAUUUUAUGCUUGCAUAAAUGAUUUUUGGAUUCGGAGCGAGUGGCGAACUGGUGAGUAACACGUGGGUAACCUGCCCCGAAGCGGGGGAUAACAUUUGGAAACAAGUGCUAAUACCGCAUAAUUAGUUGGAACCGCAUGGUUCCAACUUGAAAGAUGGCUCUGCUGUCACUUCGGGAUGGACCCGCGCCGUAUUAGUUAGUUGGUGAGAUAAAAGCCCACCAAGACGAUGAUACGUAGCCGACCUGAGAGGGUAAUCGGCCACAUUGGGACUGAGACACGGCCCAGACUCCUACGGGAGGCAGCAGUAGGGAAUCUUCCACAAUGGACGAAAGUCUGAUGGAGCAACGCCGCGUGAGUGAUGAAGGUUUUCGGAUCGUAAAACUCUGUUGUUAGAGAAGAACAAGUGUUAGAGUAACUGUUAACACUUUGACGGUAUUUAACCAGAAAGCCACGGCUAACUACGUGCCAGCAGCCGCGGUAAUACGUAGGUGGCAAGCGUUGUCCGGAUUUAUUGGGCGUAAAGCGAGCGCAGGCGGUUUUGUAAGUCUGCUGUGAAAGCCCUCAGCUCAACUGAGGAAGUGCAGUGGAAACUACAAAACUUGAGUACAGAAGAGGAAAGUGGAACUCCAUGUGUAGCGGUGAAAUGCGUAGAUAUAUGGAAGAACACCAGUGGCGAAGGCGGCUUUCUGGUCUGUUACUGACGCUGAGGCUCGAAAGCAUGGGUAGCGAACAGGAUUAGAUACCCUGGUAGUCCAUGCCGUAAACGAUGAAUACUAGGUGUUGGAGGGUUUCCGCCCUUCAGUGCCGCAGCUAACGCAUUAAGUAUUCCGCCUGGGGAGUACGACCGCAAGGUUGAAACUCAAAGGAAUUGACGGGGGCCCGCACAAGUGGUGGAGCAUGUGGUUUAAUUCGAUGCUACGCGAAGAACCUUACCAGCUCUUGACAUCUUCUGCCAACCCAAGAGAUUGGGCGUUCCCUUCGGGGACAGAAUGACAGGUGGUGCAUGGUUGUCGUCAGCUCGUGUCGUGAGAUGUUGGGUUAAGUCCCGCAACGAGCGCAACCCUUAUUAUUAGUUGCCAGCAUUUAGUUGGGCACUCUAGUGAGACCGCCGGUGAUAAA
RNAcentral lists this ribosomal RNA (1123 nucleotides) under uncultured bacterium. Its description in RNAcentral is "bacterial SSU rRNA". It matches the Rfam family "Bacterial small subunit ribosomal RNA", at positions 47 to 1162 of the family's 1533-position model. The record is from RNAcentral.